AUUUUUCCACCAAAGGGAGAUAAUUUGGAACUUUUUCAAUGAUGUUUACAUUUUAAAAGUCAUUUGGGGCCAACACGAAUUAAUUGUUUUGAAUGUUUUUUGUAUCAUAUGAUAAAGUAACAACUACAAAAGGUAAUAAAUAAAAUUUGUAAUGAAAAACAAAUGUUUAAUUUUUUUCUGAAAUUUUUAUACCCUCGAGCCUCCUUAAGCAGU
This 213-nucleotide long non-coding RNA is filed under the name Mytilus galloprovincialis (Mediterranean mussel). Lineage: Eukaryota; Metazoa; Mollusca; Bivalvia; Mytilida; Mytilidae. The record is from RNAcentral.